AGGGUAUAGACCCGAAACCCGGUGAUCUAGCCAUGGGCAGGUUGAAGGUUGGGUAACACUAACUGGAGGACCGAACCGACUAAUGUUGAAAAAUUAGCGGAUGACCUGUGGCUGGGGGUGAAAGGCCAAUCAAACCGGGAGAUAGCUGGUUCUCCCCGAAAGCUAUUUAGGUAGCGCCUCGUGAAUUCAUCUCCGGGGGUAGAGCACUGUUUCGGCUAGGGGGCCAUCCCGGCUUACCAACCCGAUGCAAACUGCGAAUACCGGAGAAUGUUAUCACGGGAGACACACGGCGGGUGCUAACGUCCGUCGUGAAGAGGGAAACAACCCAGACCGCCAGCUAAGGUCCCAAAGUCAUGGUUAAGUGGGAAACGAUGUGGGAAGGCCCAGACAGCCAGGAUGUUGGCUUAGAAGCAGCCAUCAUUUAAAGAAAGCGUAAUAGCUCACUGGUCGAGUCGGCCUGCGCGGAAGAUGUAACGGGGCUAAACCAUGCACCGAAGCUGCGGCAGCGAACGUAUCACCCAAGACAACUUUACGGAGUUGACGAUUGACGGAGCGAAGCGACGUCAAAGCGUUCAUUAAAGUCGAGUUGGCUUAGGGAUACGUUCGUUGGGUAGGGGAGCGUUCUGUAAGCCUGUGAAGGUGUGUCGUGAGGCAUGCUGGAGGUAUCAGAAGUGCGAAUGCUGACAUAAGUAACGAUAAAGCGGGUGAAAAGCCCGCUCGCCGGAAGACCAAGGGUUCCUGUCCAACGUUAAUCGGGGCAGGGUGAGUCGACCCCUAAGGCGAGGCCGAAAGGCGUAGUCGAUGGGAAACGGGUUAAUAUUCCCGUACUUGGUGUUACUGCGAAGGGGGGACGGAGAAGGCUAUGUUGGCCGGGCGACGGUUGUCCCGGUUUAAGCGUGUAGGUGUGUGUUCCAGGUAAAUCCGGUUCACUUUAACACUGAGGCGUGACGACGAGGCACUACGGUGCUGAAGCAACAAAUGCCCUGCUUCCAGGAAAA
Molecule: ribosomal RNA, 998 nt
Filed under: Salmonella enterica subsp. enterica serovar Typhimurium
Lineage: Bacteria; Pseudomonadati; Pseudomonadota; Gammaproteobacteria; Enterobacterales; Enterobacteriaceae
Description: partial 23S ribosomal RNA
Rfam family: Bacterial large subunit ribosomal RNA
Source: RNAcentral